AGGGCGCACGGUGGAUGCCUUGACACUAGGAGUCGAUGAAGGACGGGACUAACGCCGAUAUGCUUCGGGGAGCUGUAAGUAAGCUUUGAUCCGAAGAUUUCCGAAUGGGGAAACCCACCAUACGUAAUGGUAUGGUAUCCUUAUCUGAAUACAUAGGGUAAGGAAGACAGACCCAGGGAACUGAAACAUCUAAGUACCUGGAGGAAGAGAAAGCAAAUGCGAUUUCCUGAGUAGCGGCGAGCGAAACGGAACAUAGCCCAAACCAAGAGGCUUGCCUCUUGGGGUUGUAGGACAUUCUAUACGGAGUUACAAAGGAACGAGGUAGACGAAGCGACCUGGAAAGGUCCGUCGUAGAGGGUAACAACCCCGUAGUCGAAACUUCGUUCUCUCUUGAAUGUAUCCUGAGUACGGCGGAACACGUGAAAUUCCGUCGGAAUCUGGGAGGACCAUCUCCCAAGGCUAAAUACUCCCUAGUGAUCGAUAGUGAACCAGUACCGUGAGGGAAAGGUGAAAAGCACCCCGGAAGGGGAGUGAAAGAGAUCCUGAAACCGUGUGCCUACAAAUAGUCAGAGCCCGUUAACGGGUGAUGGCGUGCCUUUUGUAGAAUGAACCGGCGAGUUACGAUCCCGUGCGAGGUUAAGCUGAAGAGGCGGAGCCGCAGCGAAAGCGAGUCUGAAUAGGGCGUUUAGUACGUGGUCGUAGACCCGAAACCAGGUGAUCUACCCAUGUCCAGGGUGAAGUUCAGGUAACACUGAAUGGAGGCCCGAACCCACGCACGUUGAAAAGUGCGGGGAUGAGGUGUGGGUAGCGGAGAAAUUCCAAUCGAACCUGGAGAUAGCUGGUUCUCCCCGAAAUAGCUUUAGGGCUAGCCUUAAGUGUAAGAGUCUUGGAGGUAGAGCACUGAUUGGACUAGGGGUCCUCAUCGGAUUACCGAAUUCAGUCAAACUCCGAAUGCCAAUGACUUAUCCUUAGGAGUCAGACUGCGAGUGAUAAGAUCCGUAGUCAAAAGGGAAACAGCCCAGACCGCCAGCUAAGGUCCCAAAGUGUGUAUUAAGUGGAAAAGGAUGUGGAGUUGCUUAGACAACUAGGAUGUUGGCUUAGAAGCAGCCACCAUUUAAAGAGUGCGUAAUAGCUCACUAGUCGAGUGACUCUGCGCCGAAAAUGUACCGGGGCUAAAUACACCACCGAAGCUGCGGAUUGAUACCGAAUGGUAUCAGUGGUAGGGGAGCGUUCUAAGGACAGUGAAGUCAGACCGUAAGGACUGGUGGAGUGCUUAGAAGUGAGAAUGCCGGUAUGAGUAGCGAAAGACGGGUGAGAAUCCCGUCCACCGAAUGCCUAAGGUUUCCUGAGGAAGGCUCGUCCGCUCAGGGUUAGUCAGGACCUAAGCCGAGGCCGACAGGCGUAGGCGAUGGACAACAGGUUGAUAUUCCUGUACCACCUCUUUAUCGUUUGAGCAAUGGAGGGACGCAGAAGGAUAGAAGAAGCGUGCGAUUGGUUGUGCACGUCCAAGCAGUUAGGCUGAUAAGUAGGCAAAUCCGCUUAUCAUAAAGGCUGAGCUGUGAUGGGGAAGCUCCUUAUGGAGCGAAGUCUUUGAUUCCCCGCUGCCAAGAAAAGCUUCUAGCGAGAUAAAAGGUGCCUGUACCGCAAACCGACACAGGUAGGCGAGGAGAGAAUCCUAAGGUGUGCGAGAGAACUCUGGUUAAGGAACUCGGCAAAAUGACCCCGUAACUUCGGGAGAAGGGGUGCUUUCUUAACGGAAAGCCGCAGUGAAUAGGCCCAAGCGACUGUUUAGCAAAAACACAGCUCUCUGCGAAGCCGUAAGGCGAAGUAUAGGGGGUGACACCUGCCCGGUGCUGGAAGGUUAAGGAGAGGGGUUAGCGUAAGCGAAGCUCUGAACUGAAGCCCCAGUAAACGGCGGCCGUAACUAUAACGGUCCUAAGGUAGCGAAAUUCCUUGUCGGGUAAGUUCCGACCCGCACGAAAGGUGUAACGAUUUGGGCACUGUCUCAACCAGAGACUCGGUGAAAUUAUAGUACCUGUGAAGAUGCAGGUUACCCGCGACAGGACGGAAAGACCCCGUGGAGCUUUACUGUAGCCUGAUAUUGAAUUUUGGUACAGUUUGUACAGGAUAGGCGGGAGCCAUUGAAACCGGAGCGCUAGCUUCGGUGGAGGCGCUGGUGGGAUACCGCCCUGACUGUAUUGAAAUUCUAACCUACGGGUCUUAUCGACCCGGGAGACAGUGUCAGGUGGGCAGUUUGACUGGGGCGGUCGCCUCCUAAAGUGUAACGGAGGCGCCCAAAGGUUCCCUCAGAAUGGUUGGAAAUCAUUCGUAGAGUGCAAAGGCAUAAGGGAGCUUGACUGCGAGACC
Molecule: ribosomal RNA, 2367 nt
Filed under: Bacillus cereus
Lineage: Bacteria; Bacillati; Bacillota; Bacilli; Caryophanales; Bacillaceae
Description: bacterial LSU rRNA
Rfam family: Bacterial large subunit ribosomal RNA
Source: RNAcentral